This 392-nucleotide ribosomal RNA is filed under the name Streptococcus anginosus. RNAcentral's name for it is "bacterial SSU rRNA". It matches the Rfam family "Bacterial small subunit ribosomal RNA", at positions 387 to 774 of the family's 1533-position model. Lineage: Bacteria; Bacillati; Bacillota; Bacilli; Lactobacillales; Streptococcaceae. The record is from RNAcentral.
ACGAGCACGCCGCGUGAGUGAGAGGUUUUCGGAUCGUAAAGCUCUGUUGUUAAGGAAGAACGAGUGUGAGAAUGGAAAGUUCAUACUGUGACGGUACUUAACCAGAAAGGGACGGCUAACUACGUGCCAGCAGCCGCGGUAAUACGUAGGUCCCGAGCGUUGUCCGGAUUUAUUGGGCGUAAAGCGAGCGCAGGCGGUUAGAAAAGUCUGAAGUGAAAGGCAGUGGCUCAACCAUUGUAGGCUUUGGAAACUGUUUAACUUGAGUGCAGAAGGGGAGAGUGGAAUUCCAUGUGUAGCGGUGAAAUGCGUAGAUAUAUGGAGGAACACCGGUGGCGAAAGCGGCUCUCUGGUCUGUAACUGACGCUGAGGCUCGAAAGCGUGGGGAGCGAACA